UGCAGUCGAGGGGCAGCAUGACCUAGCAAUAGGUUGAUGGCGACCGGCGCACGGGUGAGUAACACGUAUCCAACCUACCGGUUAUUCCGGGAUAGCCUUUCGAAAGAAAGAUUAAUACCGGAUAGUAUAACGAGAAGGCAUCUUUUUGUUAUUAAAGAAUUUCGAUAACCGAUGGGGAUGCGUUCCAUUAGUUUGUUGGCGGGGUAACGGCCCACCAAGACAUCGAUGGAUAGGGGUUCCGAGAGGAAGGUCCCCCACAUUGGAACUGAGACACGGUCCAAACUCCUACGGGAGGCAGCAGUGAGGAAUAUUGGUCAAUGGACGAGAGUCUGAACCAGCCAAGUAGCGUGAAGGAUGACUGCCCUAUGGGUUGUAAACUUCUUUUAUAUGGGAAUAAAGUGAGCCACGUGUGGCUUUUUGUAUGUACCAUACGAAUAAGGAUCGGCUAACUCCGUGCCAGCAGCCGCGGUAAUACGGAGGAUCCGAGCGUUAUCCGGAUUUAUUGGGUUUAAAGGGAGCGUAGGCGGACUAUUAAGUCAGCUGUGAAAGUUUGCGGCUCAACCGUAAAAUUGCAGUUGAUACUGGUCGUCUUGAGUGCAGUAGAGGUAGGCGGAAUUCGUGGUGUAGCGGUGAAAUGCUUAGAUAUCACGAAGAACUCCGAUUGCGAA
This 668-nucleotide ribosomal RNA is filed under the name uncultured bacterium. Its description in RNAcentral is "bacterial SSU rRNA". It matches the Rfam family "Bacterial small subunit ribosomal RNA", at positions 56 to 719 of the family's 1533-position model. The record is from RNAcentral.